Anolis carolinensis (green anole) is the source of this 134-nucleotide small nucleolar RNA. Ensembl annotates it as small nucleolar RNA, H/ACA box 65. Lineage: Eukaryota; Metazoa; Chordata; Lepidosauria; Squamata; Anolidae. The record is from Ensembl.
CCCGCCACUGUGCCGGCCUGCUUUCUCAGCCAUGGCUGUGCACAAUCCAGUGGUGAGCUGAGAGGAAGCCCCCAUUCUAGGAAACAGGCUUGCCCUCUCUGUGGGUAACUCUGUGCCGAUGAGUGGGAACAAAC